Spinacia oleracea (spinach) is the source of this 752-nucleotide long non-coding RNA. RefSeq lists it as uncharacterized. Lineage: Eukaryota; Viridiplantae; Streptophyta; Magnoliopsida; Caryophyllales; Amaranthaceae. The transcript is spliced from 5 exons. The record is from RefSeq and is a predicted model, not a curated record.
CCUCGGGGUAUUUCAUGAAAAAACCGCUUUGCCUCCCCACUUCCCCCAUCUUCUCUACUCCAAGCUGCAAUUCUCAAUUGCGAAGCUGCAAAUUAUAGGAACUGCAAACUCCAAAAUUAUCUUCUCUUCAUUGCCGAAAAACUAACUUCCAAACCUUCACCGGCGCAAACGCGAACCACCGCCUCCAGUGCCUCCUCCGCCUCCAUCAAAACCCUUUUUCUUCUCUUGUGGCUUGCUAUGAGAGGACGCUCGUAGCAAUUUGUGAUUAAGCUAAGAGAGGAGUUGGAGGUUAGGGGAACUCAAAUAUGAACCAGUUGUGAAGUGCACCUUUAUCUGAACAAGUGAUAAUGGUUCUCUUGAUUCAAUGUGGGAAAUUAUAUGGGCGGUAUCCUAUAAUUUUUUCCAUGUGUAAAGCUUCAACUGUAUCUGAAUCAGGACCAUGAUAUCCAACAGAAUGAAGCUUUUGUACAAUUAGGAUAGUAAUACAGUGGAGUACCUAUUACUUAUUCUCAAGCGAAGAUUGCCGAGUUGAGGGACUUAUGCGUUACCUAUGUGUCCGAGCAUAAAGAACUAGACGAAGAGUUUGAAGAUGAUAUUGUGUAGGUGAUUUAUGACUUCAUUUUAAUUUUAGAAUUUUGUAUUUCUUUACGAAGAAGAUUAUAGGAUGAAACAUUAAGUACUUUUAGACGUUAACAUUUUUUGUAAUAUUUUUCUGGGUUUAAUGAAAGAUUUGGAUUAUUUUGGUAUUAUAA